Long non-coding RNA from Pelmatolapia mariae (spotted tilapia), 516 nucleotides. RefSeq lists it as uncharacterized. NCBI's taxonomy places the organism in Eukaryota, Metazoa, Chordata, Actinopteri, Cichliformes, Cichlidae. The transcript has 3 exons. The record is from RefSeq and is a predicted model, not a curated record.
GUGGAGGUCCAUCAGUGACCAGCUUCAUCCGCCCGCAUUACCACAGCUGGAGUCUGCACAUGCAGGGUUAACCUUGAACAGGAAACCUUGUAGUGUACAACGUUUAGAAAAUGAACUUUGACCACUUCCAGAUACUGCGGGCCAUCGGGAAGCUUUGGAAAGGUAAUAAUGAGGAUCCUGUUUAUCUGUUUGCUGCUCGUGGCCAAGUUUAGAAGACGGCACAUAGACGCCAGCAUGACGUCAAAGGAUUGUGAUAGCGUUAUAAAAAGUAAACAGAUCUACAAUCUUGACAAAAGCUGUAAAGAUACCAACACGUUCAUCCUUGAUAAUCCAACUGAGAUCAAAAACAUUUGUGUUGGGGGAAAAUUUGAUGAAAAACUUCAAAUGACAAAAAGUUCACAGUUGUUAAAUGUGUACUACAGAAUGAGGGAGCCAGAAAACCCAGAUGUCAGUGUGAUGGAAACCACCUCACAUAUGUUGCAGUUGCUUGUGAAGAUUAAUUUCCUGUACACUUUG